Molecule: ribosomal RNA, 292 nt
Filed under: uncultured bacterium
Lineage: Bacteria
Description: partial 16S ribosomal RNA
Source: RNAcentral
GGACUACUCGGGUUUCUAAUCCCGUUCGCUCCCCUCGCUUUCGCACCUCAGCGUCAGGUACCAGCCAGGACACUGCCUGCGCCUUUGGUAUUCCUCCGGAUAUCUACGCAUUUCACCACUACACCCGGAAUUCUGUGUCCCUCUCUGGCCCUCGAGUCACCCCGUCUUUAGGGCGCUCUCCCGGUUAAGCCGGGAGCUGUAACCCCAAACUGAGGCGACCGCCUACGUGCCCUUUACGCCCAGUAACUCCGGACAACGCUCGCCCCCUACGUAUUACCGCGGCUGCUGGCAC